GAUGUUUUAAUGAUUGAUUGGCUAUUAUUUGCUUAACUUGACAUUGUGUAGGGUUUGUUUUUUUUUCUUGGUUUAUAUUCAGGUAAGAGUUUUACAACAUCUAUGUUGAAUGUCACAUUAAACCAAAUGUUUGUGUGUACACAAUGAAUUUGUCUAUGUUCUGUGCUGGAUGCUGCUGCCUCAUACAUAUCCAACCAAAAAAAUUCAAGGUUGUCACACAAGGCCAAGGUUGUUUUAUUAAUGCCUCCUCCAUUAGUCAAGCUCAAUUUCAGAUGUGUCCCUUUUACCAUCCUUUGAGUUUUGUCUCUUUAAAACAGAAAAUGCAAGCAGUGGCAUUAUUUGUGUCCUUUGGACACAUUCUCCAAUUAUUUUGUAAUUUUUUUCUUCUUUCGACUUUUUCUCCUCUAUUUGUUCCCACAUCCUAAUUAUUUUUAUUCCUUAUAUCCCUGUUUUUGACUGUCUGUAUCCCUCUUAUUUUCAUUCUUUACCAAGAUUAUAGAUAUCAGAAGAUGUGGUAUGAGUGCCAAUGAGACAACUCUCCAUCCAAGUCACAAUUUGUGAAAGUAAACCAUUAUAGCUUAAAGUACGGUCUUCAACAUGGAGCUUUGGCUCUCACCCCACAGCAAGCUCUGUGUGCA
This 638-nucleotide long non-coding RNA is filed under the name Mytilus galloprovincialis (Mediterranean mussel). The record is from RNAcentral. Lineage: Eukaryota; Metazoa; Mollusca; Bivalvia; Mytilida; Mytilidae.